UUUACAUUUUUCUAAUAUGUGGAGACUUUUAUUUUGAUGUUUCUCGUGGGCGCCGCCAUUUUGUAGGUUUUGACGAGUUGCGCGGAGAGAGCGAGAGAGCGGAGAAGAACAGCGGUGAGCUGAAAUUGAAUGUUGAUCUCGGGUAGUCAAUCGCGGGAAAAAGUCCCGUUUAGACUCGCGACAUAUAUAAGAGCUGCAUGACGUUGCUUCUGAGUCUUCGUGUAUAUGAACAAGUUUAACGAAGUAAGCGUUAAAAUUAGUUUUCUGCCGUGUUCAUGCAUGAAGCUGGACAAAAGGCCUGUUAGUUUCAUUAAGUCUCAGUCACGUAGGAGUUAAACAGUCUUGUGUUUUCUUUGCUUCAAACAGUUUUUGUUUCAUUUGUUCAAACGAACUUGAAACAGUGAUUGCUGUUACAGAUCGUGUGAAUUAAGGUUCGCUGAGUCAUCGGAUAGGGUCGUGCGUUGUUUGUCUUCUCAUUGUGCCUCCAUCAGCUGGGAUUGCGGCCUCGUUGAAUCAAGCUGCCGUCGUCAGGAUCGCGAGGACAAUCGCUGAGGGUUAGUGAGUGAAGAAACAGUACCCUGCCAUCCAUUGGACAUCUUUCAGCACCUCAUUCAUGAACCAAGAGUGGUGAUAAAAAUUAUUUUCCUCUUUUCCUUCUGAAAACUGGUAAGCAAACUGCCAUUUUCUGUAAGUGAGUCAUCUGAACUGUUAAAUCAUACAGAUAUUUUGAUGGAACUGUGAUCAGUGAAUUUUCCUGCGAAGGGAUUCAUAGUCUUUCUUUUGUGUACAUAACUGAACUUUUUGGGACUGUGAACCUCAUAUAUGGAUAGAGUAUAACUUUUCACCUUUUUUUCCUGGAUUUUUGAAUUGGAUCUUGGAUUUUUGAGCCGGACUGAAGUGAACUUCAAAGUGUACUUUGUUUGAAAGGUUGAGUUAACUGUGAAACGUUUUGUUUAAGGUUACUUACAAUAAGUGACACUGAUUCUUACUUUCCUCAGAUUGAACUGUAACUGACACAAAUCUGUUGAUUUUUCAUCUCUAUUAUUUUCCACAUUUCUUUUAUUUCACUUUGAUUUGUUUACACUUGAAAUUGUUUUGUAAACUUUGUGAAAACAAGGAAAACGUAAUCAUUUAAAAUCUUGCAGUACAAAUAAAUGUAAAAUUUGUUUGUUAACUGAAAACUGUUUAUGCUAAUUUUGAGUCACUUAUACUAAGGAGUGGGGGCGUCUUACCUAUCCUGUUAGAUUCAGGGGAGGGCGGGUUUUGCAGUUAACUAGGUUUACCUCCUGAGUUUUCUACAUACACACACUUCAGGUGGCUGCCGUGUAUUGAGUAAAUCCUGAAGCCCACCUCGCUGAUUCUUGAGCAUUACACAUUGCAACACGAUAGACACUACAUACAACUAGUCUAACAGUUGUACAAAGACUAAAAGCAUUGGGUGGGGGGACUAGGAUCCUGUUGCUCACUCAGUCAUCCUUAGUAUAGUGCUGAAUAUUUCCCCCACAAGGCGGUGGCAUAUUCCCCUCCGCCACAUAUUGGCGUCACGAACAGGAUCAAUUCCUGGUUCCUGAUUCAGUGUAAGUUCAUGGUCCUAGAGCCGACACUAUGGCUGAACUGGACGAGUUAAAGAAACAGUUUGAAGAGAUGCAAAGGCGUUUCGGUGAGCAGACAUGCAUGUUAGAGCAAGCCAGAGCCGAACAGAGAGAGGCGCUUUCCCUCGCUAAAACUGUUAUUGAACAACAGGCUGCCGCUCAGAGAGCACCAUCUACUGUUUACAUCCCUAGGGAUCGUAAGCUUCCAGAGUUCACCGGAUGUCGUUCCAAGCCUGGUGAGUUGAGUAUAGAAGAAUGGAUAAGUUCAAUGAAGUCCGCCUUCAAGGUGAUGAAAAUUCCUGAAGAAGACAGAAUUGAGUUUGUUAAGCAGUAUUUAAAAGAUGAGGCUAAGAUGACAGUCAAGAUCACACUCAACGGAAAGGAGAAGUCAGUGGAUGAGAUUUUCGAUGCUUUGGAUCAGACUUAUGGGGACAAACUUCCCAUUGGCAGCAGACUGAAAGAGUUUUAUGACCGCAAACAAAUGCCUGGAGAAACAAUCCGUUCUUAUGCUUAUGACUUGCAGGAGAAGCUAAGUAUCAUCCAGAGUCGAGAGCCAUCUAGAGUUCCUGAUGCUGAUGGAGUUUUGAAGGAACAGCUUGUGUUGGGCCUGAAAGACGAUUCGCUACGGCGUGAAAUGAAGAGGAGAGUUAAAACUGAGAAGGACCUGACAUUCAUCCAGCUUAUGCAGGAAGCUAUUACUUGGUCUGAAGAAGAGGAGGUGCAGGUUCCAAGCAAUCCGAGAACGAGUACUCGUCCACGUGGUGUCGUUCAUGCUACCACUGCAACAGAGAGCUCUUCAGCCCCUCUCACCCUGGAGUCACUCCAUGAAGCCAUUCAACAGAUAGCUGCCCGACAAGAAGAACUGUUUCAGAUGGUAAACAGCAAAGAAAAAUUGAAACCUGCAGUGAAGGAAAACAAGGCAAAAAGUGCACCUUUGAAAGAUAGUGAAGGAAGGUACAUCUGUUAUACGUGUGGUAAGCCAGGACACACAAGCCGACGUUGUCUUCAGAGCAGAGAAAACUCUAGUAGAGUGCAACCUAACACAGCAGAGAUAGAAAAGACAGCUGACAGAGACACUUCAGUGCUAGAGAGUCCAGGUCCAUCCGUUAUAAGAAGUCAUACUGCAGACUGUGAUACAGAGAACGUUUCCAAGUCACUUUGUGAAAGUGCUUUUGGUGAUUGUAUAACCAUUGAGGUGAAAAUUGCGGGAAUCAGAACAAUCUGUCUCUUGGACACAGGGUCAGAAGUGACUACUAUCACCGAGUCACAUUUUAAGAAUCACUUUGGAGAAGUUGUUCUGUCGUCUGCCAACUGGGUCCGACUUACAGCAGCAAAUGGCCUAGACAUUCCCAUCAUUGGAUGUCUGGAAGCAGACAUAGAGUGUUUUGGGAAGACGUUGCAUGAAAAGUGCGUGUUUGUGAUCAAAGAGAGCGAUUCUAAUGGGACAGAAUUGAAAGGAUUGCCUGGCAUUAUUGGGAUGAAUGUGUUGAGUGAAGUUAAUGAUCUAUUCAUGACUACUAAAGACAUGAAGAAGAUGGACAGGUAUAGCCAUGGUUUUAGGGAGGCAAAAGUCCAGCGAGUUUUAGCUAACAUAAAGAUGCAGACUGAGGCACUGAGUUGUGGUGACAAGAUUGGCUUUGUGAAGGUUGCUGGGAAGCAAUCAGUAACUAUUCCACCAUUCAGUGAACGUGUUUUAGAAGGCCGCUGCAGGAUACCACCAAAAGUGAGCUGUCAAGUGUUGGUUGAGGCCUCGUCAAAUGUCAGUUUGCCUAAGAGUGUUCUGAUUGCUAAUGUGCUUGCUAAGACUGCCGAUGGUAAAGUUCCAGUCAGAGUGUUAAAUUCUAGUGAAAAGCCUGUAAAGCUCCCACCAAGAUGUAGGAUCGCAGCACUGUCCAAGCCCCAGGAAGUUGUGCCAAGGGUGCUCGUCGAGUUUGAGGAAAAAGAGAAUGCUUUGCAUGUUAAAGCUGUGCAGCAACAUAAGGUGAAGGCAGAGAUAAGCACUUCAGAACAGCUGCCAGUUCCAGUGCAAAUUAAUCUAGAGAACCUCACAGAAACACAACGUUGCAAACUCCAAAACUUACUGGCUAAGCACAGUGAUGUGUUUUCAAAGAACGAUUGUGACUUCGGUUAUACAACUGCUGUCACACAUAGUGUUCCAACAGGAGAUGCUCCUCCCAUUAAGCAAAGACAUCGCAGAAUCCCACCUCAGGUUUUUCAGGAAGUGAAAAAACAUGUUCAAGAUUUAGUAUCUCAAGGUAUUCUCAGAGAAAGCAGUAGCCCAUGGGCAUCUCCAGCUGUGAUUGUGAUCAAGAAGGAUGGCAGCGUACGCUUUUGCUGUGAUUACAGAAGGUUGAAUAAAGUGACCUGCAAAGAUGCUUAUCCUCUCCCUCGUGUGGAGGAAUCGUUGGAUGCCUUGGGAAAUGCACAGCUGUUCUCCACACUUGAUCUUACCUCCGGGUAUUUCCAAGUAGCGAUGAGUGAGGAGGAUAGAACAAAGACGGCGGUCACCACUCCCUUUGGACUGUUUGAAUGGACCAGGAUGCCAUUUGGACUUUGCAAUGCACCUGCAACAUUCCAGCGUCUGAUGGGGGUGGUGCUCGGUGAUCUAACGUUUGACAUACUGCUCAUCUACCUUGAUGACAUCAUUGUUUUUUCGAAAGACUUCGAAACCCAUUGUCAAAGACUGGAAAUAGUAUUCAAUCGAUUGAGACAGCAUGGUUUGAAACUGAAACCCAGCAAGUGUUUCCUUUUGAAACCCGAAGUGAAAUUCUUGGGUCACCUUAUUUCUUCCCAGGGAAUAAAGGUGGAUGGAGAGAAAACUCAGGUUUUGGAAUCCUGGCCUGCACCCACGAAUGUCAGAGAGUUAAGACAGAUCCUUGGAUUCAUGAGUUACUACAGGAGGUUUGUUCCUGGUUUUGCUCAAUUAGCCCGGCCCCUUCAUGCCCUGGUUGGUAAAGGAGGGAAAGAGAAAAUCAUUGAACCCCUUAACUGGACAACAGAAUGUCAAACUGCAUUUGACAAACUCAAGCAGUGUUUAAUGUCUCCGCCAGUUCUCGCGUACCCAGAUUUCAGUCAGUCUUUUGUACUCACAACUGAUGGAAGCCUGCAUGGUCUUGGAGCUGUGUUAAGUCAACGACAAGGAGGGGUGGAGCGUGUGAUUGCGUAUGCAAGUCGGGGUCUUCGUGGAUCAGAAAAGAAUGAUAGAAAUUACAGUGCUUUCAAGCUAGAGCUACUUGCCUUGAAAUGGGCUGUAACUGAAAAGUUCAAAGAAUACCUGAUCUACUCCAAGUUCUCUGUGAUAACUGAUCACAACCCUUUGCGCUACUUGGCGACCGCUAAUUUAGGAGCUGUUGAACAACGGUGGAUAGCUCAGUUGUCAGAAUUUGAUUUUGAAGUCUACUACAAACCAGGACGGCAAAACACAAAUGCCGAUGUGUUAUCACGGAUUCCAUCCAGUGAGGAGCCUGAGCAAGAGGACUCUGCUAAAGACUUCAUUAGGAUGAAUUCAGAUGAAGUGCGUGCAUGUUUAUGGCCAGUUGCCAACAAGCAUCAGAUAGUACAAGCAUCGGUUCAGGUAUCAGUGACAAGGAAAGUCCCUGGAUAUAGCUGGAGUGAUAUAGAAGAGCAACAAAAGAUCGACCCUCAUAUAGCUCCUAUAUACCGUGCUGUACUAACCAACAAGAACCUGAGUCCAGUUGAGCAACGCAAUAUGGAUGUUGAGUUAAAAAAGCUUUCUAGACAAUUCACACGACUCAAGCUUAAAAAAGGAGUGAUGUUCCGUUCCAUCUUUGAUCCCCGGGACGGAGAAGAAAUUUGUCAAUUAGUGGUUCCAGAACCCUUGCGUUACAAAGUGUACGAGAGUCAGCAUGAUCAUUGUGGCCAUUUUGGAGAAAGAAGCACGCUGGAGCGCAUGAGGCGGAGCUAUUACUGGCCGACAAUGAGUAAGGAUAUUCAAAACUGGAUUCAGGAAUGCAAGAGAUGUGCCCUUGCUAAAGACGUUUUUCCUAAAAUACGAGCCCCAAUGACAUGUACUAAUGUAUCUGCCCCGCUGGAAGUCCUUGCUAUGGAUUAUACAGUCUUGGAGGAAUCUUUGGGAGGAUAUGAAAAUGUCCUCGUCCUAACUGACAUGUUUACUCGUUUCACGGUAGCAGUGCCAACCAGAAAUCAGACCGCUCAUACCACUGCAAAAGCCCUUGUGCAGCAUUGGUUUGUCCACUACGGCUGUCCUGCACGACUACAUUCCGACCAAGGUCGAUGUUUUGAAGCAAAUGUCAUCAAAGAACUGUGUAAAGUCUAUGGAAUCGGAAAGAGUCGCACCACUCCGUAUCAUCCACAGGGUAACUCCCAGUGCGAAAGAUUUAAUAGAACCAUGCAUGAUAUGCUAAGGACGUUACCCCCGGAAAAGAAAAGGAAUUGGAAACAGUAUCUGCCCGAGUUGGCGAUGGCAUACAAUAGCCGAAUCCACACUUCAACUGGCUAUUCGCCAUUCUAUUUAAUGUUUGGGAGGGAUGCCAGAAUGCCGAUGGAUAUCCUUAAUGGGAGAGACUUGGAGGACAGUAGAGCUGACAAUCUUGAUGAUUGGGUGAAAAACCAUCAUGAUAGAUUAAAGACCGCUGUUGAAGUAGCCAACUCAGCAGCACAGGAAGCUUCAAGGCGAAGAAAAAGAGCUUAUGAUCGGAAAUCGCAUGCCGCACUUAUGAGACCUGGUGACCGUGUUCUGUUACGGAAUCAUUCACAUAGGGGAAGGAAUAAGAUACAAGACCAUUGGGAACCCUUGCCUUACACUGUAGUGAAACAGAAUCACGCAGACACUCCAGUUUACACCAUUCGCCCAGAGAAAGGGGGCCCAUGUAAAGUUGUACAUAGGGAUCAACUCAAGCCUUGCACUUUUCAGUCAUCACUACCACCUUGCACAUCUAGACGUGAAUCUAGAGCACACAUAGGUCAGGCACACACUGAUUCAGAAGAUUCUGAUGUUCUUCCAGUCCCUGUUGUUACAUUUGCACCCGCUACACUCACAGACACACAAGGUAGAAGGGCAGGUGGGGAUGAAUCAGAGAUAGGUAUCAGGGACCAUGUCGAUGAAAUGUCAGCUGAUGAUUCAGUAGAACAGUCUGUACUUGAGUCUAUGAGUUCAGGUGGCUCCGAAGCUGAAAGUGAAAAUGAAAGUAUUACUGAACCUAGACGUUCACAGCGUUUGAACAGAGGUACUUUACCCGUUAGGUAUAGGACUGACUAUGUCUUGAAAUAAGCUUAUGUCAACCUGAAGGUUUGUAUGUUUCUUUUAAUAUGAAGGUUUUUCAAUCUUGCUAAUUGAAAGUGUUUAAUUGCUGUACUUGAUGUUUUCUUGUGUGGAAAGAAUAUUUACCUGCUAUUCUCUGUCAUUUAUUUUUCAGGACUGAGUUGCUGAAUGGAAGUCCGGUGGCAUGGCAGGGUUUAGCAGGGGGGAAUGUAGGGGAUUUACAUUUUUCUAAUAUGUGGAGACUUUUAUUUUGAUGUUUCUCGUGGGCGCCGCCAUUUUGUAGGUUUUGACGAGUUGCGCGGAGAGAGCCAGAGAGCGGAGAAGAACAGCGGUGAGCUGAAAUUGAAUGUUGAUCUCGGGUAGUCAAUCGCGGGAAAAAGUCCCGUUUAGACUCGCGACAUAUAUAAGAGCUGCAUGACGUUGCUUCUGAGUCUUCGUGUAUAUGAACAAGUUUAACGAAAUCGUGUGAAUUAAGGUUCGCUGAGUCAUCGGAUAGGGUCGUGCGUUGUUUGUCUUCUCAUUGUGCCUCCAUCAGCUGGGAUUGCGGCCUCGUUGAAUCAAGCUGCCGUCGUCAGGAUCGCGAGGACAAUCGCUGAGGGUUAGUGAGUGAAGAAACAGUACCCUGCCAUCCAUUGGACAUCUUUCAGCACCUCAUUCAUGAACCAAGAGUGGUGAUAAAAAUUAUUUUCCUCUUUUCCUUCUGAAAACUGGUAAGCAAACUGCCAUUUUCUGUAAGUGAGUCAUCUGAACUGUUAAAUCAUACAGAUAUUUUGAUGGAACUGUGAUCAGUGAAUUUUCCUGCGAAGGGAUUCAUAGUCUUUCUUUUGUGUACAUAACUGAACUUUUUGGGACUGUGAACCUCAUAUAUGGAUAGAGUAUAACUUUUCACCUUUUUUUCCUGGAUUUUUGAAUUGGAUCUUGGAUUUUUGAGCCGGACUGAAGUGAACUUCAAAGUGUACUUUGUUUGAAAGGUUGAGUUAACUGUGAAACGUUUUGUUUAAGGUUACUUACAAUAAGUGACACUGAUUCUUACUUUCCUCAGAUUGAACUGUAACUGACACAAAUCUGUUGAUUUUUCAUCUCUAUUAUUUUCCACAUUUCUUUUAUUUCACUUUGAUUUGUUUACACUUGAAAUUGUUUUGUAAACUUUGUGAAAACAAGGAAAACGUAAUCAUUUAAAAUCUUGCAGUACAAAUAAAUGUAAAAUUUGUUUGUUAACUGAAAACUGUUUAUGCUAAUUUUGAGUCACUUAUACUAAGGAGUGGGGGCGUCUUACCUAUCCUGUUAGAUUCAGGGGAGGGCGGGUUUUGCAGUUAACUAGGUUUACCUCCUGAGUUUUCUACAUACACACACUUCAGGUGGCUGCCGUGUAUUGAGUAAAUCCUGAAGCCCACCUCGCUGAUUCUUGAGCAUUACACAUUGCAACACGAUAGACACUACAUACAACUAGUCUAACAGUUGUACAAAGACUAAAAGCAUUGGGUGGGGGGACUAGGAUCCUGUUGCUCACUCAGUCAUCCUUAGUAUAGUGCUGAAUAUUUCCCCCACAAGGCGGUGGCAUAUUCCCCUCCGCCACAUUAUG
This is an RNA transcript of Carassius auratus (goldfish), 8416 nucleotides long. RefSeq lists it as uncharacterized. The transcript is spliced from 2 exons. Lineage: Eukaryota; Metazoa; Chordata; Actinopteri; Cypriniformes; Cyprinidae. The record is from RefSeq and is a predicted model, not a curated record.